AUGCCACCUGUAAAAUUAUGAUUUUAUUCCUAUGCUUUUCUUUAUAUUUUCUGUCUACUUAACUGGAACACAGGAAUUUUAUAUUAUGAUCUUUUUAAAUCUGUGCAACAGAUUGUUCCAGAAGUUUCUUACAUACCUUUUAGAAAUAACACAUUAAUUUUGACUGUAUUUUUCAAGGGAAUUAUCUGGCUUUGUUUUACAGAAGACUCUUCUAAGAGGUUUAACACCAUUUUUAUUAUAAACUAUAACUCAUGAUAACAUACAAAUUUAUAUAAGUAUAUAAAGGCCAGCUUAAUGUUUUUUAUUUUGAGAAGCAUGAAGUUCUCCCUAUGUACUAGAUAAAGGCAACACUUCUACUUACAUAGGGUACACUGUACUUAUUUUAGAAUCUGGCUCAUUUUUCUCCUUAUCCCUCUUUGGGGUCAAGUUUUCAGUUGGCAGUAGGAGUGGAGGUUUGAGGGGCAGAUCAAGGCCAAACUUUCUAACUAGCCUUUCUUCCUACCCAUUUCUUCCUUCUCUUUUGUUGGAGUCAAGGUUUAGGUUCAAAUAUGGGCAGAGACUGGGAGGUGGGAGGGUAGUGGGUUGGGACAUCUGGGGUUAAGUCUUCUGCUUUACAGCUGAGAAAUUGUUUACAAUCAAGAGAUGGAAAUAAGCAAAUACAUUGAGGGUAAUGGGAGCUAAGUUUCUCAGCGUCAACAAAGAGAAUUGUACAUAUGGAAAGGGGGAAGCCUAAAACCAACUCUGUGGUGUUGAAUUAGAAUUAGAGGUAUCAGUAUGAUCUCAUUGCUUUGCUAGCUAGGUAGGUAGGGGUGUGUAUGAGUGUGUGUGUGUGUGUGUGUGUGUGUGUGUGUUUGUGUGUGUAUUUCCUAGCUGUGUCUGGGUAUAAUAGCAGUGAGCACACCUAGCACCCAGACCUUGGUUUCUAAAUAUUUUUCACUAAAAAGACCCAGACCAGGGAUCUUUGAAGAAAUGGUUGACUCUCUCACUAGGCAUUUUAUAUCAUGAAGUAAGGAAGCCCUCAAAUAGUAAUUGACACAUGCCCCAAAGGGCACAGUAACAGGUUUGAAGGAUUAGUGUUGACCAAUUCUGAGACCAUCUGAGUAUCAAAAUAAAUGUUAUAAACAGAUUGUAACCUUUUGAGUAAAAUAGAACUCCAGAAAUCCACACUAAUAUUAAAUAUAUAAAUGAAGAACAGAAAAUUCUGAAUGUCAUUUAGUAAAUCUAGAACCUUGGCACUAAUGACAUUUUGGGAAAGAUAAUUGUUUUGAGUGGGAGAGUAACGGUCUGGUGUAUUGUAGGAUGUUUAGCAUUAUCCUUGACCUCUACCUUCUAGAUAGUCGCAUCCCUCCUGCCCUCAACCUCUAGUUGUGAAAAGCAAAAAUGUCUUCAGGCAUUGCCACAUUGCAAUGAGGAGGCACAAUUGCACCCUCUGUCCUCAUUUGACAACCACUGAUCUGGAAAGAAUGAUGGAAUUAGAAAAUUACCAUUUGGUAACUAUCAUAGUAAUAACUAACUUCAGCGUGGAUUAUCAGUGGAUACUAAAGUAAGUGAACAUAUGAUGAAGAGUAAGAUAUCUUAAUCUCAAAAUAUCUCCACGAAGCACUAACUAGUUAGUAACUGAUAAAUACCAUAUGCUUCUAAUUAACUUUACAGUGGGAAAGCCCAGCAGACACCACUUUAACCAAGAAAUAAAAAUUAAUAUCACGUGCCUCCUAAUAUAGUGCAGUGACAGAAGAGAGCAUUGCUUCUGUGGUAUUCCUGCUGAAAAUCACAAAUCGUGAGGAAAAUCCUACAAAACCAAACUGGGAGACAUUUCACAAGGUUAACUGGACUGUACUUUUCCAAAAAGUUAAGAUCAUGGAAGAUAGAACUGUUAUAGAUUGAAGGAAAAAAAAAAAAGAGACAUGAUCACUAAAUGUAACAUGUGAUUAUGGAGUGGAUCCUGGACCUAUAAAGGACAUUAUAGGCAUGAUCAGAGAAAUUUGAAUAGGUUUUGUGGAUUAGAUGGUAAUAUAUCAGUGUUUAUUUCCUGAUUUUGACAAUUUAACUGUGGUCAUACAGAUGAGUUCCUCAAACACACUACGUUUCCUUGAGAAUAUUUCAGUCUCUGUUCACGGUGUCUUUUGUCAGUUCUUCUGAUGAGUGGCACUAUUUCAUCUUUUGGGACGCACGUUUUCACCUUCUCAGAGAGGCCAUCCCUAAUUGCCUUAUCUAUUGUACCUAUCUUUCCCAAAUCCCUGUCACUCCAUGUUGCUUAUUUUAUUCAUAACCUUCACUAUUACCUGUUAUUACCUUCUUAUUUCUUUGUCCCUCUGCUGAAAGGAAGCUCAUGAGAGCAGAAGCUUUCUCUGUGCUGCACCCUCAGUCUGAACCAGUGCCAGAUAUCUUAGUGGACUUGUAAUAACCAUUUCUUGAAUCAGUAACUCUACUGUGAAAUCUGGCCUUCUACAUUAGCCACUUGGUCAUGUAACCAACCUGGGUAUGUUAAGAUGUUGUAGGAAUUAGUAUCUAUUGAAAAAAAAAAAGAUAAAA
Molecule: long non-coding RNA, 2532 nt
Organism: Neofelis nebulosa (Clouded leopard)
Lineage: Eukaryota; Metazoa; Chordata; Mammalia; Carnivora; Felidae
Exons: 2
Source: RefSeq, a predicted model, not a curated record